UACGAAGGGGGCUAGCGUUGCUCGGAAUGACUGGGCGUAAAGGGCGCGUAGGCGGAUUAUUCAGUCAGGCGUGAAAUUCCUGGGCUCAACCUGGGGACUGCGUUCGAGACGGGUAGUCUUGAGUUCGGAAGAGGGUCGUGGAAUUCCCAGUGUAGAGGUGAAAUUCGUAGAUAUUGGGAAGAACACCGGUGGCGAAGGCGGCGACCUGGUCCGAUACUGACGCUGAGGCGCGAAAGCGUGGGGAGCAAACAGGAUUAGAUACCCUGGUAGUCCACGCUGUAAACGAUGUGUGCUGGAUGUUGGGUGACCUAGUCACUCAGUGUCGUAGCUAACGCGAUAAGCACACCGCCUGGGGAGUACGGCCGCAAGGUUGAAACUCAA
Molecule: ribosomal RNA, 381 nt
Filed under: uncultured bacterium
Lineage: Bacteria
Description: bacterial SSU rRNA
Rfam family: Bacterial small subunit ribosomal RNA
Source: RNAcentral